GAUGAAGAACGUAGCGAAAUGCGAUAAGUAAUGUGAAUUGCAGAAUUCAGUGAAUCAUCGAAUCUUUGAACGCACAUUGCGCCCCCUGGUAUUCCGGGGGGCAUGCCUGUCCGAGCGUCAUUACAACCCUCAAGCUCAGCUUGGUGUUGGGCCCCGCCGCCCCGGCGGGCCCUAAAGUCAGUGGCGGUGCCGUCCGGCUCCGAGCGUAGUAAUUCUUCUCGCUCUGGAGGUCCGGUCGUGUGCUCGCCAGCAACCCCCAAUUUUUUUCAGGUUGACCUCGCAUCAGGUAGGGAUACCCGCUGAACUUAAGCAUAUCAAUAAGCGGAGGA
RNAcentral lists this unclassified non-coding RNA (329 nucleotides) under soil metagenome. RNAcentral describes it as "partial contains 5.8S ribosomal RNA, internal transcribed spacer 2, and large subunit ribosomal RNA". The stretch from base 1 to 120 matches the Rfam family "5.8S ribosomal RNA", at positions 35 to 154 of the family's 154-position model. The record is from RNAcentral.